This 450-nucleotide ribosomal RNA is filed under the name uncultured bacterium. RNAcentral's name for it is "partial 16S ribosomal RNA". It matches the Rfam family "Bacterial small subunit ribosomal RNA", at positions 29 to 523 of the family's 1533-position model. The record is from RNAcentral.
AACGAACGCUGGCGGCAUGCCUAACACAUGCAAGUCGAACGAUGCUUUCGGGCAUAGUGGCGCACGGGUGCGUAACGCGUGGGAAUCUGCCCUUAGGUUCGGAAUAACAGUUAGAAAUGACUGCUAAUACCGGAUGAUGACGUUAAGUCCAAAGAUUUAUCGCCUGAGGAUGAGCCCGCGUAGGAUUAGCUAGUUGGUGUGGUAAGAGCGCACCAAGGCGACGAUCCUUAGCUGGUCUGAGAGGAUGAUCAGCCACACUGGGACUGAGACACGGCCCAGACUCCUACGGGAGGCAGCAGUGGGGAAUAUUGGACAAUGGGCGCAAGCCUGAUCCAGCAAUGCCGCGUGAGUGAUGAAGGCCUUAGGGUUGUAAAGCUCUUUUACCCGUGAUGAUAAUGACAGUAGCGGGAGAAUAAGCCCCGGCUAACUCCGUGCCAGCAGCCGCAGUAA